Molecule: long non-coding RNA, 605 nt
Organism: Oncorhynchus tshawytscha (Chinook salmon)
Lineage: Eukaryota; Metazoa; Chordata; Actinopteri; Salmoniformes; Salmonidae
Source: Ensembl
AAACAGGAAAGGCCUUCCCCAAACUGUUGCCACAAAGUUGGAAGAAAACAAUUGUCUAGGUUGGCAUUGUAUGCUGUAGCGUUAAGAUUUUCCUUCACUGGAACUAAGGGGCCUGAACCAUGAAAAACAGCCCCAGACCAUUAUUCCUCCUCCACCAAACUGUACAGUUGGCACUAUGCAUUGGGGCACUAUGCAUUGAGUGCCAUAUGGUGAAGCUUAAUUCAUCACUCAAGAGAACGCGUUUCCACUGCUCCAGAGUCCAAUGGCGGCGAGCUUUACACCACUCCAGCCACAGCAGUCAACUAGCCAACCACAGCGGUCAACUAGCCUGCCACAGCGGUCAACUAGCCUGCCACAGCGGUCAACCAGCCUGCCACAGCGGUCAACUAGCUAGCCACAGCGGUCAACUAGCCAGCCACAGCAGUCAACUAGCUAGCCUCAGCAGUCAACUAGCUAGCCACAGCAGUCAACUAGCUAGCCUCAGCGGUCAACUAGCUAGUCACAGCGGUCAACUAGCUAGCCACAGCGGUCAACUAGCUAGCCACAGCAGUCAACUAGCUAGCCACAGCGGUCAACUAGCUAGCCACAGCGGUCAACUAGCUAGC